RNAcentral lists this ribosomal RNA (466 nucleotides) under Myurella bilineata. RNAcentral describes it as "Hastulopsis bilineata partial 16S ribosomal RNA". It matches the Rfam family "Bacterial large subunit ribosomal RNA", at positions 1921 to 2598 of the family's 2925-position model. Lineage: Eukaryota; Metazoa; Mollusca; Gastropoda; Neogastropoda; Terebridae. The record is from RNAcentral.
UUUUUAACGGCCGCGGUACUCUGACCGUGCAAAGGUAGCAUAAUCAUUUGCCUUAUAAUUGAAGGCUGGUAUGAAUGGUUUGACAAGAAUAUAGCUGUCUCUUUAUAAUUUGAUAGAAUUUUAUUUUUAGGUGAAAAAGCCUUGAUUGAAUUAAAAGACAAGAAGACCCUAUCGAGCUUUAAAGGAGUUGAUGGAUGUAAGUUUUUUGUUUUAAAAAAGUAUGACUGUCGAAUAUUUUGGUUGGGGCGACUGAGGAACAUAUAAAGCUUCCUUUAGUAGAAAUAUUUACGUACAUGUAUUUGAUCCUUAGUUAGCGAUUAAAGAAAUUAGUUACCGUAGGGAUAACAGCAUUAUCCUUUUUGAGAGUUCUAAUCGAAAAAAGGGUUUGUGACCUCGAUGUUGGACCAGAAUGUCCUAAAGGUGCAGAAGUCUUUAAGGGUUGGUCUGUUCGACCAUUAAAAUUCUA